UUUCACCCUUUUCUUGAAAUGAUUAAUGAUCGACCUUAGGGUUGUUCGUUCGAUUUGCUUAACUCUCUUUUUAUUACUUUUAGGGUGCUAGGAGAGUCAUAGGCACCUUCGUCAGUGCAAACGAAGGGUGCAGGAAGUCUUGGCAUAUGGCGGGUCUGGACACGUACCGGGCGGGCUUCCGUUGGGUCUCGGAGUGUGACAGGAUCCCUAUAAUUUUUAAAUUGGAAAAUAGAAGCCUCAAAGGGUCGCACAUCAGUAUGUAUUGAUCUACUCAUUUUGAACUGUUGGCAUUUGGGGCCAAAUAUAAACCAAUUUAAUGUCUCCUCAGCAUUAUAUUUUAGGCCAACCUAUCUGAAGUCCAAAAGAACUUCUUCAAACACUUAAACUCUAGCCUAGGAGAUCACAUUCCAUCCAGGGCUUAUUUUACCACUUGCAUCAAAAAAGCAGAGUAAUGCAAAGUGCAACUAUACCACGUAGACUCAACAAAGUGCUGCAACAAUAUUAUGCAUAAUUUAUAUCUACAUCAAUCUAUAUCUUAUAGAGAAAAAUAUUUUCAUCAAAUAAUGUAAAUUGAAGAAAGAAGAUUGAUGUAGAUAUAGAUUACGCAUAAUAUUGUUGCAGCACUUUGUUGAGUCUGCGUGGUAUAGUUGCACUUUGCAUUACUCUGCUUUUUUUAUGCAAGUGGUAAAAUAAGCCCGGGAUGGAAUGUGAUCUCCUAGGCUAGAGUUUAAGUGUUUGAAGAAGCUCUUUUGGACUUCGGAUAGGUUGGCCUGAAAUAUAAUGCUGAGCAGACAUUAAAUUGGUUUAUAUUUGGCCCCAAAUGCCAACAGUUCAAAAUGAGUAGAUCAAUACAUACUGAUGUGCGACCCUUUGAGCCUUCUAUUUUCCAAUUUAAAAAUUCUAGGGAACUGUUUUGGUGCACCAAUUGGGACCUUUGAAAGCUUAUUCGACAUUGCUUCGAACCCUAUUUCCUUGACCCGAUCUCAGAUUUAAUUCCCUUUGUGGCUGUUAGAGG
Long non-coding RNA from Ananas comosus (pineapple), 1015 nucleotides. RefSeq lists it as uncharacterized. Lineage: Eukaryota; Viridiplantae; Streptophyta; Magnoliopsida; Poales; Bromeliaceae. The transcript is spliced from 2 exons. The record is from RefSeq and is a predicted model, not a curated record.